RNAcentral lists this non-coding RNA (84 nucleotides) under Buchnera aphidicola (Cinara piceae). The record is from RNAcentral. Lineage: Bacteria; Pseudomonadati; Pseudomonadota; Gammaproteobacteria; Enterobacterales; Erwiniaceae.
UAAUUAUAAUUCUAUUCAAUUAAUCAACUGGUCAGAUCUGGAAAGAAGCAGCCAAAUUAAACGAUAUAGGUUUUAUAAUAUCUU